GACGAACGCUGGCGGCGUGCUUAACACAUGCAAGUCGAGCGGUAAGGCCCUUUCGGGGGUACACGAGCGGCGAACGGGUGAGUAACACGUGGGUGACCUGCCCUCAGCUCUGGGAUAAGCCCGGGAAACUGGGUCUAAUACCGGAUAUGACUCCAUGACGCAUGUUGUGGGGUGGAAAGCCUUGUGCGGCUGAGGAUGGGCCCGCGGCCUAUCAGCUUGUUGGUGGGGUGAUGGCCACCAAGGCGACGACGGGUAGCCGGCCUGAGAGGGCGACCGGCCACACUGGGACUGAGAUACGGCCCAGACUCCUACGGGAGGCAGCAGUCGGGAAUUUUGGGCAAUGGGCGAAAGCCUGACCCAGCAACGCCGCGUGAAGGAUGAAGUAUUUCGGUAUGUAAACUUACGAAAGAAUAGGAAGAAUCAAUGACGGUACUAUUUAUAAGGUCCGGCUAACUACGUGCCAGCCGCCGC
RNAcentral lists this ribosomal RNA (471 nucleotides) under uncultured bacterium. RNAcentral describes it as "bacterial SSU rRNA". It matches the Rfam family "Bacterial small subunit ribosomal RNA", at positions 28 to 518 of the family's 1533-position model. The record is from RNAcentral.